UUUUUUUGCUUUCUCAUCUUUGACCUUUGAUUGAACUGUCUUGUGUUUUUUUUCUUUCCUCCUGCAGAAUAAUUCCCUAAAGAGACUUUCUCUUUUCUGACACUUACAGGACAGCAGCAGCCGCCUCCCCAUCCCCAUCUACUAUGGUGCCCUCCAGUACAGAGAGACAGGAACGAUGGUGAGGGCUGGGGGUGGGGGAAGCAGCAGAGAGGCAAGGGGCUCCCAGAAGAUGACAGAGUCAGAGAAGAGGCAUUCCUGGGAUGCACAUCUCCCCUCAUUUCCUUCCAGAUCUGUCCAUGAACCCUAAGUCAGUCUAACCAGAUCUUUUGGGGACUUUCAAAGAAUCCAAGAUUUUGGGAGGCACCUUAGAGAUCAAGUACUGUGGUGGGCAGUUCCUACAAUGGCUCCCAGCCAUCUCCACUCCUGAUAUUCACACCCACAUGUAAAUAUCUCUCCUUGAGUAUGAACUUGGCCUAGUGACUUAACUUCUAAUGAAUGGAAUAGGCACAAGUGAUGGGAUGUCACUUCCAAGAUGAGGUUACCAAAGACUGGGACUUCUGUCUUUCAGGUGCUCUCUUGUUCUCUCUCCUCUGCUCACGGUAAGGAAGCCAGCUGUCAUAUUGGAAGCUGCCCUGUGGAAAAGUCCAUGUCUACAGUGUGGUCUCUGGCCAAUAGACCAGCCAGACCAAGGGUGUGGUAUUCCCAACAGACCAGCCAGGGAGGAAACUGAAUCCUGUAUAUAGCCACCUGGGACGUAGAGCUAUCCACAGUCAAGCCCUGAGAUGGCUGCAGCCUUAGAUGGCACCUUGACCACAGCCUGUGAAAACCCAUCUAAGCCAUGACCAGAUUCCUGAUCCACAGAAUCUGUGAGAUAAGUGUGGCUGUCUCAAGCUGAUAUGUUCUGGGGUAACUUGUUACAGAGCAGUAGAUAGAUGCAAGUACAAACCCUCCAUUUUCACAGAAAACAACCAAGGCCAGAGAUGGAAAGUAAGCUGCCUAAGGUCACACAGCAAUUGAGGAGCACAGUAAGAACUAUAAUACAGGUGUCUUGUUCCCUAGUGCUGAGCUCUGUCCGUUAUACUUGGGGAUAUAGAGGCAACAUGUCAC
Molecule: long non-coding RNA, 1107 nt
Filed under: Macaca fascicularis (crab-eating macaque)
Lineage: Eukaryota; Metazoa; Chordata; Mammalia; Primates; Cercopithecidae
Description: lncRNA (ENSMFAG00000063604.1)
Source: RNAcentral